GGGGAAGGCGGCGGCCUGCCUCCCAGAGCUGUUGUGGGAACGCAGGGAGUGCUCGUGUGUGAGACCCUUCCAUGACGUCCGGCACAGGAGGUGGAGAACAGCACAUCAAAACCAGAAGAUGAACCAGAAGGUUGCUGGCGGGUUCUAGAAAACUCCGACCGCAAGGAUGAGGAAGAAUGUGCUGAGUUAUAUAAGAAGCUGGUUUGAAUGUGCUUCUGGUGCCGGGUGCGUGCUCCCUGAGGUGAGUCACCGCCAACCUCCUUCUCCCUGGGGCACGUGGGGCUGCUCCCCUCAUGCUCUGGGGCCCCAGGUUAGCCCAGGCUCUUCCGACGACCCCGAAGCUCAGCGUGCGUUCUCGGGACGUGCUUCUGGAGUUUCCGAGGGGAGGACAAAACUUCCAAGGGCUUCCCUGAGAAAGUGCUGGAGCCUUGGCUCCUGCCCACACGGGGGUGGGCUGCCGAGGUGCCGGAAAGAGGAGCCCGUGCCCGACGGGAGCCAGCCAGGUUGUCCGGACUGUGUGGUGCCUGUCAGGCCCUCCAAGAUGCAGACCCCAGGCAGGCCGCGUCAAGCCAGAGACGGACGCGGGCUCGUGCCCCCAGGCGAGCUGCUACACAGACGGAAUCAGGUUUUCCUUCCACGUAGGGGCCGCCUCUGGGGGAAGCGAGGUCCCUCUUCCCGAAUGCUUCAUCUCUGCCUGGAAUGUGUCAUCGUCCCAGGCCCCCGGGGUGCUCCAGGCUGGUGGUCGCGGCGCGUCUUGCCUCCUCUGAGCAGAUGGAAGCCGGCCCGCGAAUCUGAGGCCUGGGCUAGUCCCUCCUCUGUAGAGUGGGACCGCCUGUCCCACCACGUGAGUGGGUGUGAAGUAGCCCACCGGUCCUGUGCCGUGUGUGAGUCCGGAGAUACGCGGCUGAUUUCAAAUACUUCAUAGAGAAAACGAAUGUAAUAUACCUUACUAACGUUUCUUUCAGUAUCGAUUACUUGUUAAAGGAUAACAUUUUGGAUCUGUUGGGUGAAAGAUAAUCUAUUAUUAAAAUGAA
Molecule: long non-coding RNA, 1034 nt
Organism: Mustela erminea (ermine)
Lineage: Eukaryota; Metazoa; Chordata; Mammalia; Carnivora; Mustelidae
Exons: 2
Source: RefSeq, a predicted model, not a curated record